Molecule: long non-coding RNA, 37008 nt
Filed under: Ananas comosus (pineapple)
Lineage: Eukaryota; Viridiplantae; Streptophyta; Magnoliopsida; Poales; Bromeliaceae
Description: long non-coding RNA (ACOM_LNC017072)
Source: RNAcentral
UUUUUUUUUUUUUUUUUGUCCCAAACUCACAUAUUACAAUUUGGUGAUUCUGCUCCUGUUGUUGUAGCGAUAAGCUACCAAGGAGAUUUCAAUGAAAACCCUGUUAGUGCGUCUUCGAACACCACUAUUUGAACAGUACUUCUACAAAAAGUUCCAACCAGAACAAAGAAACCUAUUUAGGUCUAUAUAUAUAGCCCAUGCCACAUUGGUUGAUUUUUGAACUGAAGAUAAGUUCAGAACUAAUUCAACUAUUUUUUAUCAACCUCUAUAUAAUUGCUUUCCUACAUAUCUAUCUAACUACAUUAAAGGAGGGUUUGGGAGGACCACAGGGUGACACGUGUCCCCACAAACCCCCUACUCUCUUCCUCUAGGGUUUGAGGGGACCACAGGGUGACACGUAUCCCCACAAACCCCCUACUCUCUUCCGAUAUAUAUAUAUAUAUAUAUAUAUAUAGAGUCCGGCUACUAUACUCUUAUGAGUAUGACUCUAAUGAGUACAAUCGUCCUCGUACUCAUAAGUCGUUUGACUUAUGAUAGAGCUUCCGAAUCAACGAUCUAUACCGUUAAACAUUAUUUACAGUAUUUAAAACUUCUAAAAAUCAAAUUUUAUAAUUUUUCGACAUCAUUUACCUUACGAUCAAAAAGUGACAAAAUUGACAAUUUUUAAUGGCCGGUAUGGGAUACUUGCUAGUUUAACGGUGUGAAAGAAUCAGAAUUUGUUGAAUUUUUGAUAGAAAAUUCAAUUUGCUACCUAGAUAAAGAUCAAUAACUUCGAUCUUAAAUUGAAGGAUCCAAUCAUCCAUUUUUAGGACGUCGUUCGAUUUUGACCUUUCAUUUUAUGCUCGCUUGAUGAACUUUAUUAUGAUUUCGAAAAUUUACGAAAUUUAUUUUCUAGAAGUUUCAAAUACUCUAGAUUAUAUUUAACGGAGUGGAUUGUCGAUUCGGAAGCUCUAUCAUCGAAAAUAACUUAUGAGUACGAAGGCUCCAAUACUCAUAAGAAUAUAGUAGCCCUACUCUCUCUCUCUCUCUCUCUCUCUCUCUCUAUAUAUAUAUAUAUAUGUAUAUAUAUAAUUUCAAAUUUUUUAUAUCAAAAUUUAAAAUUUUGAUACUUUCAAAUUUUAAAGUUUUAAAUUUUAAAUUUCAUAUUUUAUAUUUAAAUUCUAAAUUUCAAUUUAACUUAUAAUAUUUAUUUCUAAAUUUUAAACUUCAAAAUUUAAAAUUUUUAAUUAAUUAAUUAAUUAAUUAUAUUAAUAAUUAGUUAUAUAUAAUAUAAUUAAUUAAUUUUAUUACUAAUACGCAUAAUAAAUCACGUAAUAAAAUCUAACCCAAUAGAUGCAAUUUUAAUCACGUAAAAUUUCGUUGUAUAAAAAAAAUACGAAAUUUCAAUUUCAGGAGUAAAAUUUUAAAAAUAUAGUGUAUGUGUGUAUAUAUAUAAUUAAUUUUAUUAAACAAUAUCUUCUACAAUUUUAUUGUAAGUCUAUUUAUUGAAUUUUUUAAAAUUAUUUUGAUAAAUUUAUCUCAAAUCCUUUUCAUAUAAAUCUUUAUAAAAUGAAUUGUUGUAUAAAUUUACUUUGCGCAUAUACCAAUUUUAAUGACUUUAUUUAAAUAGAUUUAACUAUUAAAUUAUUUUUAUAUAAUUUUUAUUUAAUUAAUAAUUAGACUUACAAAAUUAUAUAAAAAUAUUGAAAAAACUAAAAUUUAUUAUAAAAAUAUUUUUAUAUCCGCAGCAUCGGGCGGGUAUUUCACUAGUGUUAUUGAUUAAAGGAAGAUCAUUUGCUUUCUACAAAGAAACUAUUAUGGUAAUGUUAUUCCUUUUAAUAACAUCGGAAGAAUGUAUUUAGAUGUUUUCUUCUAAAGAUCAUCAUACUAAUUGGUCAUGUCCCUACCAGAUUCAUGUCCAAAUUUUUUUUUCAAAGUUGACAAAGUUGUGUCCAAGACAUGCUGUGUAUGUGUGCUAAUUUUUGCACUGUCAUGUUCAUUUGGCAUAACAAGCUCGUAACAAAAUUGUGGCAAACAAAGUUUUACAACAAGGUGUGAAAAUACAUAUCAAUGUAAACGCUACCAUAUCUCAUCACCAAGAUCUAUACAAAAACAACCAUAAAAAAAUUGUCCAAAGCAACUCUCUAAAUUCAAUAGAUUGAAUUUCAAAAGAAGAUAAAAAGCUACUCACAAACUAGACCAGAAAACAAUGAAAAAUUACCUUCCCUUGUCGAUAAUUUUCCAAGUCCUCUGUAUCAUCAUCAUCUGGAAAGCGUGCCACUACUGCCACAGCGUUCACUUCUGAAUGAUUCACUAAAAAAUCAACAGCUCUUAAUAACGAAUCAGAGUUCCCAAUCCUCCCAGUUGAUUUUCCACAUUUCGGGUCAAUCCACUUCUCAACCUAUACAAGGUCGGCGUCACUUGCUUUCAUUAAAUAGUUCAAUAAGUAUUUAUGUAGAUGAAUUUUAGUUACCAUAAAUGAGGUUUUAACAUAUAUAUGCAAAUACCGAAGAUUAUAUUCACCUGCGUGUAAGUUCUUCAAAUAACGAUUUUCAUACAUUCUUAACAAGUACUCUUGGAAACAAAGGUCUCCAUACAUAUAUCUAUACCAUGGACAGUACCAAGAGGUUACUCGGGCUUUCUAACAGACAAAAAAUUAAAGAAACUGUUAUUUCUGAGCUUGAACUAGUGUGAAAUCGCCAAUUGUCAAUGAUUAGCAAACAGUUGAUAGAUGUAGGGAAGGGGUAUAGAUAAGAGAGAGCAGGAAUGUUACAUAACUGAAUGAAUCUAGUAUUAUAUGCCUCCUUCCCCUGCUCUUUCUAAGAUAAGCUUUUACAGAAGUCCUUUUCAAUACUGAUAAAUAACCAAGAAAUUUCAGCAACCAUACAAAGAAAAAAAAGACGAGAAAAAAUGUAUUCACAUUUAGGCUUAACACACAAAAGUAUAAUAUAAUUUUAGUUACCAUGACAUCUUUACUUCUGAAAUGAACAUGUGAAAAAGUAUAGAACAGGUAACUUAGGCUCAUAGCCUCAUAGUAGUUUCUUUAACAAGUUUGUGCACCUUCAGAGGAGUAUCGGUAACGAUAUAUUCAAUGACAGGAAGGCCAAGUGCAGCUCUUGUGGCAUCUGCAACCUGUAAAUGGCGAACUCUAAGUUCUUCUUCAAUUCCAGCAUCCAGUACCAAACCUACCUAGGUGUGAGAGAGCAAUUAUGUUAGUUAUGUACAUGCCAUAAUAUAUAAAUGAGCUCCGGCAUUCACAUUACAACAAAUUUGCAGCAUCGCAUGUACGAAGAAUCAACAGAACUUCAUAUCUGGAAUUUUUGCUAAAAGCUGUUAAAGACUACAUACUUUGGAGAUUCUUUUUGUUGACAGAAGGAUACUUUGGCGAUUCUCAAAUAUCAUUAUAAUUUGAUUUGUGUUCAAAGAUUUCGAGAAAACCUGCUAUUAUUGACCCAUCAUCAUUUUCUGUUUUUAGUUGAGGGAUAGACCUCAACAGAUCAUACAUGCAACACUAUCUUACCACUUGUGUCAAGUUAUUACCAAGUUUGUAUCAAUUUUGUUGUUGCUUAAGAAGGCAACUAUCAGCAAAGAGGUGCAAUUUUUAGUGUAUAGACAAUAAGGUUGGUAUUUGGGGAAAAUGAAAAUGUCACAUGCAUUAUUUUUAAAUGCUGGUGAUACAUAUUUAGAUCUUUGGCGAGUUUUGGAACAAAUCAAUAGUGUUAAUUCCAAAGAAAUAAUUUUCUUUUUAAAGAAUCUCUUUCAACAGUUGACACGAUGCUAAACUGCUCUUAGAUGUAUUGAAUACAUCAAAAAAAAAAAAGUAACGAUGCAGAAAGAUAUUAACUUCUAGAAGAUACAAAAAAAAUAGAAAAAAUAUUCUAUUGUUGUAGCGGUUGAUUCAUCUUAUUAUCUCGCUAGCCUUUUCCUAUUAUGCUCUUGAUAAACAAGUGUUUUUGUUUACUUCCUAUUAGAUAUCUUCAUUUAUUUUAGUGGCAUUAUACUAGUUGUUGACGCUGUAUCUUUCUCAUGUAAACUAAGAUGAUAAAAUAUAUGAAGGUCAAAUUCCUGACUACUAGCCAAAGAGAAUCAGGUUAAUACAAAUUUACUUGAAAGUUUCAACUUUAACGAUUGUCCCUAAAGUUUGUCCUCGGAAACAGUAAAUACUUCCAUUAGUCUUCAGUCUGAAAAAAGAUGCCACGUCAUGUUCAUCAUCAGAGUUUGCUAAAGUAACAGUUCUUCAAGGACUCAAAUUAAUGAGGAUGUGGAUGUGGCAUUGUAUUGUUGUAUGAAUUACAAGCUAAGAAAUGCAAAUGUCCCAAAUCUAAGAGUAUUAGUGAAAUUGAGGUCAAACUUCAGGGUGAAAUUAGCCAAAGAGGAAUCUACAUAUCUGUUGUGUACAACAAUUUGUGAAGGUGAAAUUUGAAAAUCACAGCGUAAACAAAUGGAAACAUCUGAAGGAGUUGGUAGUCAAAUGAGAAUAAAUUACCUUGUUUUGGUGAACAGGUUGAAGAGCCCAGUAUCCUUCUGCAAAUCUAUCAAGAGCAUAUCCCUCUACAUAAAGUGCAUUUGGAAUCGGCCAAUACAGCAUUGCCGCAUUCAAGACCUGCCACGAUAACAAUUUGCGUUAGAAACAUUCACAAGAAUAAGAACUUCAUUGUCAGUAACAGAAAUUUGAAUAGGAAACUUGUUAGUGUCUUCUAUAGGUAAUGAAACCUGCACCAACAGCAAAAAUACUACAACAGAAGCAGGACAAAUAACAACAGAACCUUUUCAUAAGCAGGAACAGAUUCUGUAGAUGAAGGACGUCAUAAAUUUCGUGCAAAAAAAAAAAAAAAAAAAAAACACACGAAACUCUUGAGCGUAUAUGCUCUUUUUCAGAUUGAUACAUACAUAAAAAACAUCCUUACAUCAAACUUAACAUAAAGAAGACAAAUAAAAGAAGUUACAAGGUAACCACCCACUACCCUAUGAUGGCUCCUACAAAAUAGGAAGUAACCCAAAUCAAACUGAACAACAACAGCAAAGCAUUAAAAAAAACAUCUACCACAACAGCCUUGAACCAAUCCAACAAAACUGAAGCUUUUUAAAUGAAGUUCUAAACAACAUUUUAUUGCCUCGCUAUCUUAUGAAAGAAAUUUGGCACAAAAAGAUGUAUAUAAGUCGUAAAUGAUCGCAAUUAUUCCCUAACUAAAACCAUGAGUUAGUAAAACCUGUACCUACCAUUUGAUUCCUUAACAUGUCAACAAUCCAAUAAUCAGCUUGCAUCAAAAUUCAUAAAUAUAUUCGUCAGCAUUAACUUAAAAAGAAGUUUCGAUUUUACUAUCUGACCUUCCAAGAUUGUACCAUCCAGCAUCACAGUAUUAUAACAUUUUGCAAGAAUGUUAUGUGAUAUAAAAGAAUAUUCCAUUACUCGAUGGGAUAUACGAUACAAAAUCUACGAAACUAACUAUGUCACUAAAAAGUUUAAGUUAUUAGAGGACGGUGUUUUCAUAGUCCUAUAUUCAACCGUUCCGGCCUUCUCUCAUAGAUUGGCUCAUGAUUUUUAUAGGCCUAUGAUAUGGAUUUUGGAUAAGGGCCCAUUUGGUACUGAGGGUCGCCUAACGCUAUUAGGCCAAAAGAAGCUGGAGCAAAAGCAUGUAAACAUAUCACUUUUCGUUUUUUGAUGGUACCGCAAAAAUCAUAUCUAAACAAAACUAGUCCGACUUGCACGUGCAUUACAAUUUACAAAAACAAAUGAAAUAUUCUCCUAUCACACUUUCUCACCGAACAUAACCCAUCUACCCCCCGCCCCCCAUCCGAAAUGAAGCCUAAAGGGGAGAAAAUCAAAUGAAACUAGAAGUUUAGGUAGUAGACCCUAAACCCUGUGUCUCUAAAAGCUUAAGCUGCUAAAGUACGGUAUUUUAAUCCCUUUUACACUUAACAGAAUCAAAACAUUUAAACUUCAGGCCUCAAUGGUUGUCUUUGCCGUCUUUUUAUUUUCUUAUAUAGAAUUUCUAAAUGAAAUAGAGCAUAAGACAAUGGCGGUUUGCUUGCAAUCUUUAUAUUCAAGGUAUUUAUUUCGCAACAAAACCAAAAAUUGGAAGUAACUUCUCUUUUACUUUCGAAAUUUUUAUUAACAAGAUGUUAUCCAUCGAAGCGAAGACCCACCAUGCAUUGCAAACAAUCCAAUCAUGACAACAAGAAGAAAGUCAUUCUGCUUAUAUAUAAAAUUAUAUAGAAUUAAGGAGCAAUCGCCUAUAUCUAACAAAUUAAAUUUUGAGCACCAAAGUCUCACGCGCCUCAUAGUUCGAGGACCAAAAGUGUAACUUAUCCAAAAAGUAAAGAAAAAAAAAGACAGCAGUACCGAACGAGUCCUCUACUAGGGCUUUCAACGAGCCGAGCACGAGUGAGCUGGGGCUAGCUCCUGUUCCGCUCGUUUAAUAAAUGAGCAGAACACGAGCUGGCUCGUUAAAUUAUCCAGCUCGCGUUCGGUAUGUUUAUUAACGAGCCAAACAAGAACUAGCUCGCGAACAACAAGCUAGAUUGUCAGCCCUACUACGGGGUGAAAAGUUGGAAGAACAUUACAAAAUUAGAAUCUUAAUUUAAUAAUUAAAAUCCACAAAACAUAGGUCUCUUUAUAUUUGGGCUGCCCUAAAAUCCAAAUAGUAAAAAUUUAUAAUUAUAUAAUAUUCAAUAUUAUAAAUUUGAGCUAUAGCCCCAGCUCGUGUUCAGCUCGUUAAGAUUUCAAGCUAAAAAAUUCAGUUCAUAUUCGGCUCGUUUAUUAAAUCAACGAUUGAUCUCGAGCACAUUUUGAGCCGAACAGGAGUUCACUCGCGAACAGUGAGCUGAAUUGCGAACCCUAUCCUCUGCUAUCCAGUACAAAAAUACUGGCAGAUAAAAAGGUUAGACAGUAAAAUCAAAACAUUUUUAAAUUCUCGCGACUUCGCGAAAAAAAGGUGAGAGAGAGAGAGAGAGAGAGAGAGAGAGAGAGAGAGAGAUUACGUUGGGAUGGGAGAUGAGGCAGUCGGCGACGGCGGCGACGGUGCGGGCGACCGGCAGCGCGUCGCCGGCGAACCCCCCGACGGCGGCGCCCACGCCGGUGGGGACGAUCAGCACCGUCGUGUACGGCCUCUUCGGCCACUGUGGACGGCCAGGAUGAGUCCACGUCAAUUAUUUAGUAUUAUUUAUUAUUAUAGGAAAUAAUUUGAAUCGCAUAUACCGUAGGAGAGGGAGCGAGGGCGCAAGAGAAGCGGCGGAGGGUGGCCGAGGACGGGGACGACGGACGGCUGGGGAGCGUCGGUCGGCGGAACGGACGGCUGGGAUGGAGAGCUGCCAUUGGAGAGCGGAGCUGUGAAAAACUCCCGCCGAGCAAUUGAAACAGGGGUUUCUCAGGAUAACGUUUAUUAUUGAGGAAAGAAAGCGGGCUGGAAAUGGAAAUCGGGCCGAAAUUUCAUUUUCGGAGCCCCGUACCCGGCCCGGUACAGAAUGUAAAUGUAAACGUUAGUUUCUUUUGGCUAAAUUACAUAAAACCCUCCUGUCAAAACCUAAUUUUUCACCUUUCCCCCCUAUCAUUUAAAAACCUACACUUUGCCUCCUUAUAAAAUGAAAAAUAAAAAAUGUUCACUUCGCCUCCUGCCGUUAGUAAUCCGUUAGGGUUCCGUUUAUAAAAUAUUAUUAUUAUUUUUUAUACCAAAAAUGCCCUCAGCCUUGAACAUACUGAGAGGCAAAAUGAUAAGGGGCAAAAUGGUCAUUUUAUCAUCACAGUUCACACCGUACCCCCCUAUGAACAUUUUUUAUUUUACAAGAGGGCAAAGUGUAGGUUUUUAAAUGAGAAGGGGGAAAAGUGAAAAAUCAGAUUUUGACAUAAGGGUUUUCUAUAAUUUAGCCUUUUUUUUUGGUUAAUUUCAUUCAGCUCCUGAUGAAUAUAUCGAAUAGCAAAUAUAUUCCUAUAAAGUUUAACUUUUCAUUAUUUCUUUAUCCUUAUAAAAGUUCAGUGAUAUUCAUAUUUGCCCCUUUGGUUUAUUACCAUUAGAGUACUAUUUAUUUUUAAACAAAAGAUAAGCGAAAUGACAUUUGUGUGAUCACAAAUAUGUCCAUCCAAAAAUCACAAUUGUUAUAGUUAUAUAGAAACUUUCUCGUAAAAAUCUCCAACGGUUAUCUUCUUCUUUUCUACCAUCACAAAUAAUAUAAGAAGGGUAAAAAAUUCAAUUUACCUCAUUUGCUAAUUAAGUAUUUACCUAUAGUUAACUACAAUUUUCUAAUAGAUCCUAAUAAUAAGGGUAUAUUUAAAAACGUUAGAAUUUUGUAAGGAGUAAAUAUAAAAAGUUGAACUUUGUAGGGAUAUCUACUAUUUGAUAUGUUUACAGGGAGUUGUAUGCAAUUAACCUUUUUUUUGGAAUAAUUUGUUUAUGUACUCUUGAAAAGUUUCAAACUUUCUCAUUUAACCCCUCAGAAUGCUAAUAUAAAAAGUACCUUUUUAAUGUUUCAAAUAUAUUCCUAAAGUUAAAUCUGAUAGUGGACGAUUAGAAACAAUCGUUAUCUCUAUAAAAUUAUUAUUUUGUCCUUUCAAAUAUACCCUUCUACCGUCACCAAUUUUUUUAUUUUCUCUUAAAUUAGGAGCAAAAUAAGUAUUUUGACUUUUUACCAUUUCAAAUAUACCCUUCUACGGUCACCAGCUUUUCUUAUUUUCUCUCCAGUGGGCAAAAUGUUCUUUAACUUCUUCUUAACUCUAACAGAAAUUUAACCCUAUUUAAUCCGAGAUGACUUAACGGAUACUAACAUAGUUAUUUUUUAACACCAUUUUUAUUAUUUUUAUAAAUUUUAUAAUUUUUUAUGUCAAAAUGAGUUGGCUAUAUACUGUACCACUUAAUUUUAACCGGUAUUUUUUAAUAGUUUUUAUAUAAGAUUGUAGUUUUAUUGCCUACGGUGUAGGACUUGGAAAACAAAAAAAAAAAAAAGAUAUAGUUCAGUGAAUAUGCAAAAUACAGUAUAUAUAUAUAGUAUAGUAUAGUGUAAUUAAGCCUUAUACAAAUUAUAAACUUGCGUGUUUAUAAUGUAACAAUCAACCACCAAUCAAAAUAAGCACAGCCAUAAUUAAGCUAACUAACAAAACAAGUCCAAGUCAUUUUCAAUCUCUUCUAGAAUCUUCUAGAAUCUUCCAGAGACAUGCUUAUUCCAUGAUUUUAAAACAUAGCACACAUCACUUAUUCAUACAUAACAAGCAACACCAAAUUAAUAUAUAUAUAUAUAUAUAUAUAUAUAUAUAUAUAUAUAUAUAUGAUAUUUUAAUAACUUUAAUUUGGGUGUUCAAGGAAGGAUCUUCAAUGGCCGGAUCAUAGCAUUGUCUUCGUGAUCCAAUAUCUGUUCAAGUAAAACACGCACGCUUGAGAGAAAGAAAGAUCAUACGUUAACAGUUCAAAAUUUAAGAUAAAUAUUUAAAUAUACUGUUUAUUUUAUAAAAUUUAAUAUAGUAUCAAAGCGAAUCUUAUCGAGUAUAACGAUCCGACCCGCUAGCAACAAUAACUCGUUGGGCCAAACCAUCGGCCCAAAAUGCCAGUUAUUAUUAUUAGCGUGUAGACCUUAUAUAAACUAGUCGAAAUCAGGCAUUACACCGUUAUUAUUAUUAGCGUGUAGACCUUAUAUAAACUAGUCGAAAUCAGGCAUUACACCGUUAUUAUUAUUAGCGUGUAGACCUUAUAUAAACUAGUCGAAAUCAGGCAUUACACCGUUAUUAUUAUUAGCGUGUAGACCUUAUAUAAACUAGUCGAAAUCAGGCAUUACAAACUCCCUCUCUUUAUACCCUGACGUCCUCGUCGGGUCCAAAUCAGAUCACAGACAGACACCCGCAUAGCACUUAGCUCUCAUACUUCCGGCUGAUAUUCGGCUUUGAUAUCAAUUACAACGACCCAACCCGCUAGAAACAAUAACUCGUUGGACCCAAACCACCGGCCCAAAAUGCUUAAGGCUAGUUAUUAUAACAAGCGUGUAAGUCUCAUAUAAACUGAUCGGAAUCAAUAUCCCAUCCGAUGUGGGACUAUUGGAGCGUUACAUCGAUCUUCUUGCUUUGUUUAAUUCAGUAGAGAGAUCCUAUAAUGCUUAAUUUUUUUUGAGAACAAGGAUUGCUUUUAUAUAAUUAAACACUAACUUGGUUAGGCCUGGCCUAUAUAUACAGUAUUACUAUUCUCCACGUAUAUUUUGCUCCGCCUUACUGAUGAAUAAAGUGUUGCUUAAUAAAAUAUUAUCUAAUUAAGAAGAGUUAUUAGAGAAAACCCUACUUGCUUAAUAAAUUAAUGGCUACCGCGUAUAGCGGAUUAUAUAUAUAUAUAUAUAUAUAUAUAUAUAUAUAUAUAUGCAUACGAUUCGAGAAGCAUAGCAUUUUUCUAAAAUAAAAUACGCACGUGACAAUGGUAGACGUAUCCCGGCUCGGCCGUGGCAUCGAAGGGAUAGGUCUGGUUUGUAUCCACCAGCUUGAACGCCGCCACCACGCUCGUCACGAACCCAGGCUCGAUCUUCACCACGUUCUUCCACGUCUUCUCAUACUCCGGCACCGCCAACGUCGUCCCCGCCGCGUGCUCCGUAACGUUGCACUUGACGGCGUCGUUCGCCACCCUCAUACAAGCAGUGAACUUCUGCAGGUCCAGUAGCUCCUGCACUUUGAUCGCCUGAAACAUCCCCAGGUGUAUGUGUAGCGGAUGGUUAUCCCCCGUUAGGUUUAUCACGUGCCACAGUUCCGUGCUACCGGAUUUUGGCGUCUCCGUCACGGGGUCCUCCAGUCGUAGGCCAUUGAUGUAUAAGUGUGUCGGCUCGCCGGACGCGGUCUGGUACUCGUACAUCACAAUGUACCUGUUAAUUUCAAGUCCAGACAUGACGGAGAGUGUUGAUUGUUCAGUUUUUUAAGAAAAGCGGUUGUUCUCUGUAUCAGUUAUAAAUAGUACCUAGUCAUUGUUGUUGUUGGGUCCGGUGUGGUCACUGUUGCGUAGUCCACUUCCUUCUCUGGGACGGUCGAAUUGUCCGGCGGGUCCAUGUUCGACUUCGGUUGUACGAUAAACUUCAUGACCUUGCCGUUCAAGGGGCCCGCCGCGGUGCCGUUGGGGUACGGAUACGGUGCGCUAUUCAGGAGCUCCGCCUCUCCGGUGGGCGAUAAGGAGAAGUCGAUCACAACAUCGGCUAGCUCGGCGGGGGCUAAAAUGAUUGUGGGCGUCGUGACGGGGGCAGAAAGAUAGGAGGAGUCCGAGCCGACGACGUAGAGCGGGAGGUUGUUGGAGAGUGAAAGGUUGAAGUAGCGCGCGUUGCUGGCAUUGAGGAUGCGGAAGCGGUAGCGUCGGCGACGGACAGAGAGAAAGGGCCAGGCCUUGCCGUUGACGGUGACGGCCUCGCCGAAGUACUCGGGUUGCCACUGGGGGUGGAUCGAGGGGACGUUGCCGGUGGCGUUCAUGUAGAGGGAGCCAUCGACGUUGAAGCUGCGAUCGGCAAUGAUGAGGUGAAGGUCAUCGUCGUUGCACGGGAGAUUCAUAGGAUCGUCGACGGACGGUUUCUCAAUGACAUAGGCACCGAGGAGUCCGGCGAGGAGGUUAGCGCGAGUGAGGCCAAGAGCAUGAUCAUGGUACCUGUCGAAUAUGUACUUCAAAAAUAUUAGUUUUUGAUCAUUUAAGCAUACACAGAAGAACAGAUGUACAUUUACAGUACCAGAGAUUGCCGGGCGGCUGAACGUUAGGGUACGUAUACGUGGUUUGGGACCACUUGGGGCCAGUCUCUUUGAAAUCAGCAGUAAACCAAGCGAAAGGGCUGCCGUCCGACUGCGGAGAGUGGACACUGCCGUGAAGGUGGACGACGGUAGGGACACCGCCGGACUUGGGAAUGGCAGUGGGGAUCGUGGGGUCCCAUGAGAGGAUGUGGGACUGGGGAAGGUGGUUCUCCCAGGUGACAUAGAGGGGAACGCCGUGGCGGGCGGUAAUGGUGGGGCCAGGAAAAGUAGCGGCCGUCAGGGAAGUUCCAUAGACGAAAACCGAUGUCGCAGGAAGGUCGCGAUGAAAUUUCUGCAAGAUAAUUAAACAAAAUUAAAAAUUUAUGAUUAAAGCAUUUUGGUAUAAAAAAUUUAUAGAACUUAUCUGAACUAUGGACCACUCUGAACUCGCUACUACCAAGCCUCUCAUUUUGUUUAAUGUGAGUCAGUCAAUGGUAUUUUGAUCUCAAAAUUUGAAUGCAUCAUUUAUCUUUAUAUAUAGGUUUAAUUAAUAUGCUCCAUACAAUUCGCACAACUAUAAAUUUGUGAGUUUAGUUAGCUUAAAUUUUAAAGUUAAAGUACCAUUGACCGACUAAAAUCUAUUAAAUGUCCGUCGAAAUUGGUAAUCGGCUUCAAUUUUGGGACUCUGAUUCGUCUGUCUGUUAGAUAUUCCCUGCAAAAGAUUUUUACAUAAAUUUGUGUAUUUUUUUAUUUUUGUUUGUGGUUUUUUUAUUUUGUGUUUGCUAUUUUCAUUUCUAUUUGUGAGCUCGUCGUAACAAAAUCAAAUAAAUUUAAAGGUUUAGUAGUAAAAUUAAAAUUUUGAAAGAAAAUGAUUCAUAGUUGUGAUAAAUUGUAUAUAUGUUUAAUACCAAAAGAAAAUAAUAAUAGGGAUGUGAAUAGAAGAUUAUAUACAUACCCACAUCUUCUGAUACAUGCCAAUGGUGAGGUUGACAGGGACCGGGGAACCAUUUCGCAAGUUGUAGCCAUAAAUUUUGGGCAUUUGUGGGAGUGGAUCCACAUACAUUUGGAGUGACCCAGCCACUUUUUGAAGAGUUUGUUGAGUCACAGGUGCCACUGUAGUUUGAGAGAACACAAGGGAAACUGCUGUUGAGAGAAGUAGUAAUGUUGCUGCUUGUAGUGUUCUUGUCCCCAUUUUCCACCUUUUUUUCUGGUUUUUUAAUCUGGUUCUGCUUUAAAAAGAAGUUCAUGAGUGAAAAGUGAUUAGUAAUCUUAAUUAUUAGUUACCAUCUAAUUAAUUAAGUUUAAAGACAUAUUUGACAAUUAAUAUACUUCGCAAUUUCUCACCAAUGAACCAUGCAUGAUCAUAUUUGGUUUGGGGAUUUGUUGGAAGAUGUUAAUUAAUUUAGAGAGUUUUAGUUCCUGCAGUUAUUUCGACUGUGUUUUCUGGUUAGAUCGUUCUACUAUUUGAUCACUCUAAUGAAUAUAUAUAUAAUAUAGCUCUUUCUAAAUAUAAGCUCUACGCUGCACAAGAUUUGAUGUACAAAAUGGUAGUAAUUGUACUCUUUCUAUCGAUAGCAAUUCAUAUCCAUCAAAUAUAUGCGUUAAAAAAAAUUAAAAGAAAAUAUGACAAAAAUAUACAUAUAGAAUAAGCUACAAAUAUAAAUGAGAGAGAAAGAGAGAGAGAGAGACCCACCAAGCUAGAGAGAGAAAUUAAUUAGGUGGAAGGUGAAAGAAGAUAAGGGGCGUGUGGCGAGCACAAGUCCAGUGCCUUGGUUGUUGAGCAAAGGCCCUCUUAUAUAUAUAGCCGAGGUGGUCAUAUAUAUGGAAAACAACUAUACUUAUUAAUUAAAUAAUAAUAAUAAAAAAAGGGUCAAUUGCAUGCAGGUCCAUGCAAACGAAGUGAUUUGCAGAUAUAUUCCUGUAAAGUUCAAACUUUCAUAAGUUAUUCCUACAAAAGUUCUAAUGUCUUCAGAUAUGUCCCUACCAUUAUAAUCCGUUAGAAAAGUUUAGUAGGCUAAAAGCUUUACCCGGAUUAAUUUUUGACAUUUUUACCCCUCUUAUAUUAUACUAUUAUAAUUUUUAAAGGGACAUAUUUGUAAUGGCAAAAUUAAAAAUAUAAACAGUUUUCUAACGGUUCUCUAACAGUAACAAACCAGAAGGAUAUAUCUGAAAAUAUUAGGACUUUUGUAGGGAUAACUUAUGAAAGUUGAGCUUUACAGGAACAUAUCUGCAAUUCACUAUGUUUGCAGAGAUCUAUAUGCAACUAAUCCUAAAAAAUAGAAGAAAAAAAGAAAACCACUAUACACCAUUCAAUAAUUAAUAUUAUAAUAAUAUUGGAGAAAAUUUUCAUUAUUAUUGGACUCUAACCAUUGUCAAAUCCAAGGGGCGCUUGCUCUAGUUACAAUUUGGUCUCAGGGUUAACCUAAAAUUUUGUUUAUAUAAUUGGAAAGAGAUUGAGAUGACAAGUCAACACUCUUAUCCCCCUCUCGAAGGAGAUUAAGGGCGAGUGGUUUGGUAAUAGAAAUUAAAGUUUAGUUAUAUAAACUACAACAAAAACGGUCUAUAGCGACACUUUUAAAUAUAGGUAUAUGUCAAAAAAAUGCUGCUAGCUAAAAUUACCGACACUUUUAAAAAGUGUUGCUAUAUGUGGGGUCACUAGGUAUAUAGUGACAGUUAAAGAGUGUUGCUAUAACCUAAAAGAGUGCUGUUAAUUUACCAACACUUAUUUAAGCAUUUAGCAACCGCCGAAACUCUAUAUCGUUGGCUGCGGUGGCGGAGGAGGACGACAGGAAAGGCUCUUCGUCUAGAAUUUCAGUGGAUUGAGUGAAGAGAGAAGAAAAGAUGGUAAUUGAUUUUUCUUUUUUUUUUCUUUUUUGUUUAUAAUCGGGGCAAAUGGACUGGGUGUGGUGGAUUGAGUAGAGUAAUCUUUUAUUUUGGUUGGAUUGGGCUUUAUAUUUAAGCAUUAGUAGAUGUUUUUUUAAGUUUUAGCAUAAAUGGGACACUUACUCAAAAGUGUCCCAAACAUGUGUCCCUAUAAUCUAAUUUUGUUGUAGUGUAUCGUGAAAACUUUAGUUUGUGAACUCUAAUUCAGCUGUUCGGUGCGGGGAAUUAGAUGAGUAUAUAAGUAGGUUUUUGCUGGAGAGCAAAGUCGUUUGAUUUUGCUAUUCUUCGAGCAAAGCCGUUUUGAAUCUGGUUUAUUGAUUUGGUCUUUGUUGAACCCUAUAAAUAUUACCCUAGGAAAGAUUGAACCUGAUACUUUAACAAAUUGAAACUUGAUCAAAUCGGAUUAAAUUGACAAGUAAUGAGCAAUCAAAUAGUUUGACCAAUUCUCAUCACCAUUUUCUCAAUCUUUUAUAUUUUAGGAUGGUACACCAACUCCAGUACAGCUAUGAAUUGUACUUAAUGGGUGGCCCAAUCACAUGUUAAUUCUACACUUAGAAUCAAGGGAAUCAAAAGGGUUCACAUUAUUUUAGUAUACAAGGUCAACUUGAACCAUUUUUAUUUUAUUCAGAAAAAAAAAGAAAAGCAUGAGCCCAUAUAUAUGUAUAGAAAUUUAAGUACCUUACGCAAGCUAUGCAUGGAAAUAUCAAGGCAAAUGCAUAUGGGGGGUGGACCCACCAUGUUUUUUGUCUUGUUGUGUAUUUAGUCUUAAGCUCUCUUUCUUUUUUUCUUUUUUUUAUUAUUUUUUGUUUGAAAGAGUGUAUUAAGUCUUAAGCUCUACCUAACAAGCAACCCUGGAAGGGUCCAUGUGGGGUUCAGUUGGAUACAGUUUUAUUAUGGCAGGGUUCCACACUUUGAACAUAAUUAAGAGCAAGGGAUUGUUUCAAAGCGGAAAAUAGGCAAGCGAGAAAUUUAUGAGUUUUGCAAGCUCAAUUUCAUUCUCCAUUCUACUGAAAAUAGGGGACUAUUAUCAUCUUGACCGCACAUCUUUUUAUCCAACGGCCGAAACUCGAUAGCACCAAACACUUAGUACUAUCGAUAGUAUAGUAGCAUAUAUAUAUAUAUAUAUAUAUAUAUAUACAGAGCUAGGCUGGUAUAUUAUCGGUAGCACGAAGGCCUCCGUGCUACCAAGUUGUUUUCAAUGAUGUAGCUUCCAAAUCGACUAUCGGCUCCAUUAGACUUAAUUUACACGUACACUAUUAAAAAUAUUUGAAAAUUAAAUUUCAUAAUUUUUCGACGUCAUUUGGCUAGUGAUCAAAAGGUUUCAAAAUUGAUAAUUUUAAUGGUAGAUGUGAUGCAUUUGUAAAUUUAACGAUGUAAAACAAUCCAAAUCAGAUAAAAUUUUUAUAGAAAAUUUUUUUUACUACUUAAAGUAAGAUCAGUACCUCUUAUCUUAAAUUCAAGCCUUCUAUCAUCAUUUUUUAUGAAAUUUUAUUUCCAGCCAUUCAUUUUUAGACUACUCGUUUGAUAUUUAAAUGAUAUCGAAAAAUUAUAAAAUCUAGUUUUCAAAUACUUUCAAUAGUGUAGAUCAAGUCUAACUGUCACGACCGGGUUUCAGCAGAAGUGUACCCGAUACAUGCACAAACCCGCCAUAUACCUACAGUAUACAAGGCGUCUACUAAAAUCAUGUAAGGAAAGAAGUGAUCAACAGAAGAAUCUAACCCAAUAUCAGAGCAUAGGACAUAUAAAAGGUACUAACAGCUAGCAGAUAAAUGAUACAACUCCACUAAACAACAGAAAGUAGAAGCAUAAAACUGUAAAGUACAACUCUUUACAACUGAUAUACAUCACAGUGUCACACAAAACUAUAUACAAAGGGUACGUAGUCUCUCUAUACAGUGGUACACAUCACCCUCGUCGACCCCAAAAUCAUAGUAGCGGAAUGAUCACCUAGUAGGACUCCACGCUACGCCUAGCUAGACACGACUCCCUUGCCGCGAUCCCUAGCCUCUCCCGUAGUGGAUGGCUCUGUAAACAAACAACAACAAAAGGCGUGAGAACUGUUAAACAAUAGUUUCCAGUGGGCAAGCCGCCGACCUCCGCGGAUUACACCACUAGGUUUAUGAGGUAUGAAAAGAAACAUGUAUAUCCAUUGCAUAAAGAAAGAAAUAAUGCUGCAAACAACUAGUAAAUAUUAAAAUUACUAGGUUCUCAAUAUCAUAGUAAUAACCCACAAGUGAAAACUAUGCUAUGCAAGUAAGCAUGCUAUCUAACUCAUGAAUGCGCACUAUCAAGUAGUGACUAAUAGCAACACAGCUUAGUACUUGUUCAGUUCAUAUGGAUCUAUACCAAGUAAUCCAGCUUGCGCCGCGCCUAAUGACCCCGUGGUAGUCAACACUCCCCACGGCAAUCCACUUCGGCACCCAAUCCCGCACGGGCGAGCAAUCUAUCGCGUAGGCCAACUCCGGAGUGCCGGCUUGUGGGGAGCGACCCUUACAAGCAUGUGCGAAUGAGCACAAUGGCAAGCAAGCAUGAUCCAUAGUUCACAAGUCCUCAAUCGUCAUGUUUCAAACAUGAAAAGAUCUCUACCGACCUAUAGGUCGGAAUCUAAAGAUAAUAGAAAAUACUAGUAUCAACUAGAUUAUGCAUUCAAAGGAAAUUGACGCUAGUGUAAACAUGUCAUUCGCAUUGGUAACUGGUCUACACAAGUAUGUUAAUUGUCAAGUUAUGGAUUUCAUAUCUUGUUCUCUACUUAAUAGAGAUAUACUGGUUCAUAACGUCUAAUGACAAUCAGUACAUUGAGUCCUUCUUUAUUAUGCUAAUAGCAUAAGCAUAUCUAAUCGAACUAUGUGUUUACAUACAAGGCUGAAAAUUAUUAAGCAUGCUAUAUAAUGAACUAGCUCUCAAUCCACUACUUUAUAAGAUUCUACUUCGACAGUAUGAAGCAAACAUAUUAGCUAUCUUAACCAUAUUGCACAUUGUGAGUCUAAUGACACCGCAAUAUUCAAACCACAAUUUUAUAGCAUUGUUAAGAACAUAGAGGGAAGCCAUUUAUUCCGAUGAGGUCAAACCCACCAAACAGUUAACGCCUCUUGUCAACUCCGAGAAUGAGGAUAUCUACAGGACUCCAAGUACCCUAGCAAGCAAAUCAAAAUCAGCUAGGAGCUUAUUUCACAUCUCUAUGCCAAAGUACGCACAAACCUCACAUACUCACCUAGUUAGGCAAGACUCCCAUUUAAGAUUGAACCCAGGUUGAAUCUUCUUUACUUAAGGUUAGAAUACAUUCAAUCUAACUCUUAGUAAGCCUCAAAAUCUCAGCCAAAAGGUCUCACACUAGCUGCAACCCUGCUGCGGACAAUCACCAAAAACAACAUUAGUACACCUAUGCAACUACAUAGUAUAGGCUGGAAUUUUACUUGCGUGGAUUCCCAACCUGGAAUUUCACCUCCUACAAGUCACAGUAUACCCAAAUCAGCUCCCAGGGGUCUCUAUACUCAGCUCAAAAUAAGUUUCCAAGCUACGGAGCACAUAUACUAAAAUCAGCCCCACUAUUCAUCAUUAUUUCUAAUAUAGUGUCAACAUAAGGCCAAUAAUUAAUUACUCACCUUCUCAAAGCUUCAGCUCAACUUCUCACCUGGAUUAGAGCUGAAAACCAACACCAACCUCUGAUUCUACAAUGGCUAGAGCCUUCUCUACUUCAGCUAGCAACAAAGAAACCCAAAUACUACUUAGAUCCAUUACUAUGCCUCAAACUAGUGAGUAAUUGAGUAGCUUACCUCUCCAAAGCAUCAACCCAGCUACUGUUGUGCUCAAGGAUGCGAAACACUCCUCAAAACCCCUUCUUCUUCCUUCAACAACAGCUCCAAGGCACUCCCAAUCAACUAACAUCAAGCAAGGAGAAGAAAUCAAGCUUAAACCAUUGAUUUCUUUGUAGAAAGAGAAAAACCCUAGAGAGAGAAAGUGAGGAAGGUGCAAAACCCUUUUUCUGAGCUUUAGUGACCCUCCAGCAACUUCAGGAGUCGUGCUGGCCUAUUUAGAGAUAAGGUUGAAUGCCAAAAGACCAAAGAAGCCCUUGCUGCCACGAAGCAGCUAUGCUGGUACCGGUACUGACCCACUCAGGUACCGGUACCCUGUGCAGAAUAUAGAAUUGGCAUUUCGCAAUGCACUUUCUUGCUUCGGACAAUCCAACCACUCUACAAAUUUAUCAAAACCUUACUACCACUCAUUAGAAGAUGUGGGUUAUCUCCAAUUACUAAUUCCACUCUUGAACUUCGUAAUUUGCCAAGUUCAGAGUUCUACACUAACGGAGCCGAUUGUCGAUUUGAAAGAGGCAUCAUUGAAAACAACUUAGUAACACGGAUGCUAUCAAUAGUAUAUCAACCUAGCAUAUAUAUAUAUAUAUAUAUAUAUAGUCCAGCUACUAUGCUAUUAAUAGUACGAAGCACUUGGUGCUACCAAUUAAGUUUUCCGCUGUUAGAUCUAUCAUUUUGAUCAUUUUCACACGAUCAUACUAUUCAACCAACCACCCACUCAACCCUAGGGGGCCCACAUCAUUCUAACCGCACAUCUCUUAAUCCAAUGGCCAAAACUUGGUAGCACCAAUGACUUGGUGCUAUUAAUAGUAUAUUAGCCUAGUUCUAUAUAUAUAUAUAUAUAUAUAUAUAUAUAUAUAUAUAUAUAUAUAUAUCACCCAUCAAUUUUGAUGGAUGGUUAGGAUGAGAGAGAAAAGAGAAAUUGGAGAAAAAUUUAAAAAGAAGAGAAAUUGAGACAUCUAAUUUAAAAUUCAAAUUUAAAAUUUAAAAUUUAAAAGACAAAUAGGUUAGAAUUUUUUUUUUCUAAGAAAGUGGUAGAGGGAAUAGGAGUGAAAGCGAAUUUUGAAAAGAUGCAUGAUAAAGUAAAUUGGACAUUCUUUAGAUAAUGGAAUUGUGGGGUUUCAACAACAAAUGGUGCGGAUGAAUACAGCAGCAUAUUGGAAAUGGUAAAGUAAUUGUGAUCGUAAAUAGAGAGGCAACAAAAUAGAUGAAGAUAAAGAAACAGUAUAACAGAAAGAUUUGCUAUCCCUUAUUCUUUUUUCUAGUGGAGGAACAUCUAGCCAGAAUGUUAGAAACUGCAUCGAGAAAUAACUUUAUUAUAAGGAUUGGAACCACAGAAGACACCUGGUGGCACCAUACGACACCAGCACACCACCGCUAACCCGCACCACGAGAAAAUGCAUGCCCACGUAGUGGGGUCGCUGGUCCCGCAAACAACAACAACAGUGCACCACCGCUAACCCGCACCACGCGCUUCGCCACCACCGACCACUUUACCCCCGUAUUUAACAUCGUUUCCUCUCGUGGCUAUCACCCCAGCCACGUCAGCAUCUCUCUCGUUAGAAUUAACGGUCCUACUCCUCACGCGGGGUUGAGUUUCCAUCGCCCAUCCCCCUUACAAAAAUUAUGAGUUUUUUUUAAAAAUUUUUCUUUUGUGUUUUUAAAUUAAAUAAAUAGUAGGAAAAGAAUAUUCGUAUUGUGCGAAACAUUUGGGAGAUGGCUCCCUUGGAAAAGCAUCCAAUCAGGAUUGGCGAAAGUGCCACGUAUACACCUUUUAAUCCUACGUGGGCAUGCAUUUCAAAAUGAGAGGCCCAAACAAGGCGAUAGAUGCGUAUAUGGCUCUUAUGCAAAACUGCAUGAUGGAUACACUCGUGAAUGAUAAAUUAAUUGCUUAAAACCUACAAAGAAGAACCCAAAUUUACAAUGAUCUCAAAAUAAAAACCCAAAUACAUGUAGAAAAAAGACAAAAAAAAAAAAAAAAGAGCUCACAUAUGGACUUUUCAAUGAAUGUGCCAUGUUUAUUGGCAUAUUCUAUAUCAAUUCGCAACUUGAGAAAGAAGAAGAUCUAGAAAUUUAUUUGUAGCGUGCAAGAGCCAUUACAUAACUUUCAAUUUUUUCAAAACUCUUCAAUAAGCAAAUUUGUAUAUGAAGGAGGAAAUAGGGUUCAAAAUUUUGUAGUUCUACGUAAAAAUUAUUAUAUGUAUAUAAAUAGUUGAUUGAGAGACUUAUUGUCUGAGAUUUUAUUUAUGGAAAAACUAGUUCCAUCUGUGUUAAUACAUUGUGAUAGCACUGCUGCUAUUGGUAGAGUAAGAAAUCGUUAUUAUAAUGAUAAAUCCAGAUCCGUGAGAAGAAAAUACAGUACUGUGAGAUCAUAUAUGAAUAAUGGAAUUAUCAGUGUAGAUUAUAUUAAAUAUACUGAUAAUUUCGCUGAUCCAUUAACCAAAGUCUUGGAAAGAGAAAGGAUCUGAAGCACAUCGAGGGGGAUAAGGUUGAAGCCCAUAACAUCAUGAACCACGUAUGAGGAUACCCAACCCGAUGAUCAGAGAUCCUGAAAAUUGGGUUCAAUGAAAAAAACGAAUCAUAUGAUGGUCAUAAAGAAUGCACAAUAUAUAGAUCUAUAUGAUCGCAUCUUUACCUAUCCCUAUGGUGUGGGUACAUUCAUCCUGUAAAAAAAAGAGGGUUGAGCUUUUGCUCUUAUAUGUGGCUCUUAUGAGCAGGGUAUUAGAAUUACAGGAGCACCCUUGACGGAUAUCACCUAUGUGAGCAUGGAAGUGAGCCUGCUUCCUAUGAGAACGGACUUAUUCUAAAAAAUACUCAUAAAAAUCAGGAUCGGCACAAGGCGGUAACGUGCUAGCUAAUAAAGCUCAUGUCAACACCUGGAUUGUUAUAUGUGGGCAGUGACUUUCUAUUUUUCCUAAGCAGCCAAAAUUCAAGUCUGAGACCACUUUAGCUCUGCAGUAGAGAUUACUGUUUCACUAAGUGAAGGUUCAAUGCAGAGCACACCUUCAUUAUGUAUAACGGUCUAUCUUUGGCGAUCAAACUCUCUUAUAUUUUUAAUAACAAAAUGAGUGGAGGAAUGUUGUUAUAUUUUAUUAUUAAUUACGAAAAUUUAUUGAGUUCAUGGUUAGUGAAGUUACAACUUCACUUUACUUGCAUUCAAUGUAAGCUUUUUUACCCUAUGCAUUACCUACAUCAAAUGAGUUUAUGUUAGUAUAUUGAAACUCAUAUAUAAAAGUUUGCAAUUAAUGGAGUUUUAACAUAUGUAAACUCCUAGCCAUUUAAUUCAUGCAUCCUUCGUAACUUAUAGGCCAAAGGAGCCUAUAUAUAGAGGGCUUCUCUACUUCACACAAGACAAGAAAAAAAAAAGAUAAUAGUUUUAUUUUACUAUCUCUUGUGAGAGAGAGAAGAUCAAAGGAAGGUGUUAUAGCUUUGGGCUCAUCUACUUGUGCAGAGUCGGUGAAGUCACAUGACGAGGUCGAGCCAUUGUAUCCUGGAAGGACAAAUCAGUGCUCUGCUGCAUCGGUUCAAAGACUUUGUCAACCGCAGAGGGCUUGAAUCUCCUUAAAGAGAGCGAGAUAUCCGUGCCUCGGCUUGAUCGACUCGUUGAUACUUUUUAAAUUAUUUUGUAGCUAAGCUCUAUUUUUGAAUAUAUACACCAGCAUAGACCGUAAAACGUAUCAAGGCAUUACGGAGGGACUUCUUCUAGAAAGAUAGGGAGGAGAAUAGAGGAGAGGCUUGCUUGAUAGUCUGGAAAAAAAGGGAAGAAUGCUAAAUUUGGCCCCGUUGAAUGAUGCUCUACUUGUUAAAUGGUGGUGGAGGUUUUUUCCGGAGCAAGAUACGACACGGAGUAAGCUCAUCAAAGCUAGAUACUACAAUAGAAGGAAGCCUUUGAAAGAAGCGUAAGCCUUUAGUCCGACCUCAAUGAUAGAAAGGUGUAUUAAAACGGAAGAAAGUAUUCAAAUGUAGUGAGAGUUACACCUUGGAGAACAGCCUUUUUAUUGACCUUGGUUUGACAGGUGUAGUGUGGACUUGCUAUCAUCCCACUUUCUCGAUAUUUAUGAUAAAGUUAUGAAUAAGGGUAUUAAACUCAAUGAGUGCUCCAACAGUGGUGGUUGGAGAUAAAGGAAGAUCUUAGAGGGGUUUCAAUUAAAGUCUAAGAACGACGGCUCUAAAAUCCAAGAGUUCAAGGAUAAGAUCAACGGUUACUUUUUUACAAAGUAGGCUUGAUAGUGUGUAAUGGUAUUCGGACAAAAGAAACAGGUUCACGGUUAAGUCUAUGUACAAGAUGCUUAGUGAUGGAGAGCUUAGAUGUUAGGAUUUGGUUAGACUUAUAGUUGAUUUCCUAGUUGGAUAAGAAUUAAUAUUUAAAUCUAUUGAAGAUAAAUUAAGAUUUAAAUAUUAAUUAAAAUAUAAAUCUAAUUAAAUUAGGAUAAAUAUUUAAAUCUAUUGUUGAUAAACUAAAUAUAAAUUUAAAUAUUAUUUGGAAUAGGUAUCCUAAUUAAACUAGGAUUUGGAUACGUUCUAUUGUAAGUAUUAUAUAAGCAUCAUGUGGGUUGCUUUUAGAAGAUAGUACCAGUAGAGAGAGAGAGAGAGAGAGUCUCUUGUGGUGUUGUACCAUAGAGAGAGUUGGCCAUGGUUGCAUGCACCUAGUGUAUGGGUGCGUUCAACGAGAGAAGUCUUUUAAGUUUAUAAAAGAUGAAAAGAGGGUAUAAGAGAUUCAAAAAGAUGGCUCAGGUUUGAAGCUACUCUGUUACAGAAGAUGAGCCAAGUGUAAUCUUCUCUUCGUUAGUAAAUUAUUUUAUCCGCAUAUUUUCGGUUUGAUUUUUUUUUCUCUUUUGUGAUUGUGUCAGCUUUUACCAGAUCAAUAGCAGUCGGUAUCAGAGCUGGCUGCGUAUUCUCAAGAUCUGGUAUCAGGGGGAGUACUAGAUUUUCAACAAUUGGUAUCAGAGUUUAAGGUAGUCGAUCUAUAGGAGAGAUCGACGGAGAUGGCCACGAAGUUCAAAAUCAAGAAGUUCGACGGCAAGAGCAAUUUCGACUUGUGGCAGAUUAACGUACGGACGAUCCUCGUACAACAAGAGUUGGACGAGACAUUGAACAGAAAGAGGCGAAGUCGGCGGAGAUCACGGAUAUGGGAUGCAGUGGAAGGCGCUGAGUACGCUUCAUUUAUUAUUAGCAGAUGAAGUUCUUUACAUUGUAGCCAGCAAGUCGACGUCAGCGAAGUUGUAGAAGAAAUUAGAAGAUCUGUACCUAACCAAAUUCUUGACCAACAGUUUGUAUCUGAAGCAAUGACUAUUAAUGUUGCGGAUGCAAGAAGUGACGAGCCUACAUAGGCAUCUAAACGAGUUCAACAAUGUGGUUGUCCAAUUGACUAGUAUCAGAGUCAAUCUGGAUGACGAGGACAAGGUGCUGAUUUUAUUAUCUUCACUACCGGUGACAUAUGAAAAUCUGGUGACCACGUUGCUUUGUGGCAAGAAGACCAUAAGCGUGGAGGUGGUCGCAGCAACGCUUUUCUUGAACGAUAUGCGGAAGAUGACUCAGGAGUCUGACACGCAGAAUCGUGAUACUGCUUUGGUGGUGCGAGGGAAGAAGGAGGUGACAGCAUCGGCGACCAGAGAUCAAUAGAAGAAGCCGCAAUCUAAGGUGGAGCUAUUGUCACAAGAAAGGGCACAUCAAGCGCAGCUGUCGGGAACUUCAGAAUGAUCUGAAGGAGUUGAAGCGAAAUAAAGAGAAAACUGCCGUGAAUCAGGAUGAGAAGAUAUCAGUAAUAGCAUAGGCGGCAGAGUCAGAAAUGAUUAAUUCUGAUAUGCUAUAUGCGGCGACAAAAGGUGCUAAAAUUUCAGAUGAUACGUGAGUGUUCAAUUCGGUGUGUUCCUUUCACAUAUGCCCAGAAAAGAAUCUUUUGCCACCUAUAAGGCGAUCAAGGGUAGAAAAGCUCUAAUAGGGAACGGAACGGUGUGCAAGGUUAUAGGAGUUGGCAUAGUAAAGAUCCCGAUGCAUGAUGGGGUCGUGAGGACGCUGACUAGGGUGCGACAUGUUUCUAUCUGAAGUGAAAUUUGAUCUCGUUAGGCCCAUUGGACUUGAAGGUUUGCAAUUUUUCGACUUCAGGUGGAGCUAUGAGGGUCCGAAAGCAAAAUCAGGUCGUAUGCGAGGCGAACAAGCGUAGGAACUUAUAUGUUCUGAAUGGGAGCACAAUCAAAAUAUAAGCAAAGUCAAUUUGGGUUCCAAAAGUUCACGGAGGUGGAGUUGCUAGAGAGUGAGCGGCAGAUGCAGUGACAUCGAGCAGAGGAAACAAGCUCAAAGUGGAGCUUGCAUGGUGAGCUCGAUGCAACGGUUGAAGGCUACAAAUCCAACUAAGGUAGAGAUUAUUAGGAUUUGGUUAGAUUUAUAGUUAAUUUUCUAAUUGAAUAAGAAUUAAUAUUUAAAUCUAUUGGAUAUAAAUUAAAAUUUAAAUAUUAAUUAGAGUAUAAAUCUAAGUAGAUUAGGAUAAAUAUUUAAAUCUAUUAUUUUCUUUUUCUAUUAUUGAUAAACUAAAUAUAGAUUUAAAUAUUAUUUGGAGUAAAAAUUCUAAUUAUACUAGGAUUGGAUACGUUCUAUUAUAAACAUUAUAAAAGCAACAUAUGGAUUGCUUUUAGAAGAUAGUACGGGAGAGGGAGAGAGAGUCUCUUGUGUGGUGUCGUACCAGAGAGAGAGAGUUGGCCAUGGUUGCAUGCACCUAGUGUAUGGGUGAGGCCAACGAGAAAAGCCUUUUAGGUUUAUAAAAGACAAAAGAAUGAUAGGAGAGAUUCAGAAAGAGGGCUCAGAUUUGAAUCAACUAUGUUACAGAAGAGUAGUAAAGUGUAAUCUUCUCUUAUUUAGUAAAUCUUAUUUUUAUCCGCAUAUUUUCGGUUUGGUGUUUUCUCUUUUUUGUGAUUGUGUAGCUUUUGUUGAGGAAACGAGUUUACGGUAAAAUCUGAUUUAAUACUUCCGUUGCGGAAUCCCAACAACUGGUACCGGAUCAAUAGCAGUCGGUAACAGAGCGGGUUGCAGAUUCUCAAGAUUUGGUGUCAAAACGAGUACCAAAUUUCCAACAUUAGAGACACAAAGGUUCGGGAUGUUUAGAAGCUUGAAAUACCUACGAAAGUAAAGGGAUCUUUAUGUGGUUGGCCCUUAGGAAAAGCAUCCCCCAAAAGAAUAACCUUAUAAAGAAGGACUGGUCAGAGGAUCAGAUAUGUACAUUUUGCAGAGGCAAGACUUCCCUAGAGCAACUGGCAAAGGGUUUGGUGGUUGAUACCCGAGACCCAAGUUCGAAUCCUAAUUGAUUCACAUUUCUAGCUAAGUUUAUUUCUAAAUGAAAUAAACGAAGCGAGUAGCGUGCUACCUAUCUCUCAAAAAAAAAAGAAAAAAAAAAAGAUUUGAGACAGUCGAUUGACUCCCUUGUGUAUAUUGUCAGUUCUUGCUAGUGCAAUAUUUAGACGGAGAGUACAAAUCAACAAAUAAAACGGAUGUUUGAUUCUUCCAGAAACGACUGAGGAAGAAGAGGCCUCCCUAGCUAGGAAGCAAGAAAGGGACCGAUUGCCUUAGCGGCACGCUAGUGGACAAUCUGGUUCAAAAAAAAUAAUGUGAUAUUUAGACAAUUCAGUUCGGAUCCAACACUGGUCAUAGGAAGAAUUAAGAGUAUAGUGCGCGCGACAACCUCUUUUUGAAAAAACAUCGCUCGAAUAUAUGCACUUGUUGUACUCCUCUAAUUAUCAAAAUUACAUCUUUUGUAACGCCAUGAAAAUUUUCUAGAUGAUAUAGGAGAAACUUAAUUUGAAUGUAACCCAUGCAGCAUCAUCAUAUCAAACACUACAGUGGUAAAUGUACAAUUUGCCCUUCUAUGUACUCCCUUUAUUAAGUAUAUACUGAGAAAAAUACGGUAAAUAAUUAAGUUUUUGAUUUUACCAACAAAGGCAACAUGAACCAUCGAUCGAUUACACCUGAGCAAAACUUGGAGAUCCAAAUAGCGCACGAUUAUUUAAUCAAUGCACAAGCUUAAAUGGUCUCAUCAUCUCAUUGUCUUCAUGAUCCAAGAUCUACAAAAUAUUAUAAAAAACCAAAUAUAAGUUAAUCAACAGCAUACAUAUAGAUGUAUUAUAUAAAAAUAGUACUAAACAUAGAGUGGUUGUGAAAAUAAUUUGUGCUAACUAGGAGUGAUUAACAUAGCAGUAAUUAAUAUAACAUCUCAUUUAGUAUCUACUACAAACUACUGUGAUUGCAAAAACAAAGUGCUACUUUUACAUGCAGAAUAUGAUAUAACAUGUAUAUAAUAAUAACAUGGCAUUCUAAUUACUUUCAUAUUGUCAACUUCUAAUGCAAAUGCUAAAAAAAUUUUGGACCGAUUGAUUAGAUAUAAUUAGAAAAACAGUGCAGUUGUAAUUAUAUGCAUCUAAUUAUAAUUUGGACGAAAGUAGUAUAAAAUAUUAUAACCAUAAAUAAUUUGUUUGAUUGCAUACAGUUGAAAAGCAUAUUUUAAAAAUUUUAUCAAUUUAUAUAUGUGGUGGUGAGGUUAUCUCUAAUAUAGAAAAAAAUAUAUAUACUUUUUAUUUAAAAAAUAAUUCAAAAAUUAAACUUUUGUUUUUGCUUAAAGUUGAUUUUUUUAAUUUGCUGCAGUUGAACUUUCUCAUGCAGUUUUUAUUGCAAAAGAUAGAUUCAGACAUAUCAAACUAAAUAUCGAAUUUGAAUCUAAACGUAAUUGUAACUGCAGUACAGUUACAAUUAUAUUAACUAUAUGUAAUCAAAAAGCGAAGAGAUAAACUCACAUGGCAAUGGUAGACGUAGCCGGGCUCGGCGGUGGCGUCGAAUGAAUACGUCCGCUCCGUCCCUCCGAGCGGCUUAAACCGGACCAGGAUCUCGGUCACGAACCCGGGACGCAUCUUGAAGACGUUCUUCCACCCGCGCUCCCACGGCGGCACCGCGCGGCGCCGCCCCACCGCGUGCCGCCCCACGCGGCACCGCACGGCGUCGUUGGCCCUCAUCAUGCACUCCUUGAAGCCCUCCACGUCCACCAGCUCCCGCUGCUCCCGCACCGCGAACACAGCCAGGUGGAUGUGCAGCGGGUGGUUGUCGUCCGUCAGAUUGAUCACGCGCCAAAUCUCGGCCGUCCCUUCCCCCGGCGUCUCCGUCACGGGGUCGCCAUACGAUUUCGCGUUCAGGUAGAGGUGCGUCGGGUCCCCCGUGGCGCUCUCGUACUCGUACAUCGUGAUGUACCUCGUCCGCGCCGAUUCCGCCACGUCGGCCGCGGGAUACCGUAGCAGCGACCGCGGGACACGGGACGGGUCGCGCCUGCGCUCCCUCCGCCGUCGGAUCACGAACUUCAUCACCCGCCCGCUCAGCUCGUCCGUCGGAUCCCCCGACGGGUACGGGUACGGCGCGUCGUUGCGGAGGAUGACGUCGUCGGAGGUUGACUUCGCGAAGUCAACGACGACGUCGGCGAAUUCGGAGGGGCCGAGGAGGAAGCUUCUGGAAGCUUCGGGCCUCGGGAGGUACACGGAAUCCGAGGACACGUGGACGAAGGGGAGGCCGUUGGAGAGGGAGAGGCGGAAGAAGCGGGCGUUGCUGGCGUUGAGGAUGCGGAGGCGGUAGCGGCGGCGGCGGACGCGGAGGAAGGGCCAGGCCUUGCCGUUGGCGACGACGGCGGGGCCGAAGUACUCGGGCUGCCACUGCGGGUGGAUCCCCGGGUUGUCGCCGGUGGCGUUCAUGUAGAGCGCGCCGUCGGCGCGGAACGCACGGUCGAAGAGGACGAUGUGCCGGUCGAACUCGUGGCCCGACGGGAGGCCCAGCGCCGCCUCCUCGGGGCCGGAGACGCGGUAGGCGCCGAUCAGGCCGGCGAGGAGGUUUACGCGCGUCAGGCCCAUCGCGUGGUCAUGAUACCUGGUGAAUAUAAAAAUAAGGAUUUAAAGUGUCGUGACGUGCCGAAAAUUUAUCAGUCUGGUACGUACAUUACCAUACACGUGUCGGAUUGUGCCAAUAUAUGCCGAUUAUAAAAAAAUACAUGUAUACCUAUAUUUUUUAGCAAUAAAAUAUCCUAAUUAGUAUUUUUAUUAAAUUUUUUAAAUUUUAUAAAAAAAAAACCUACUUAUUAAUAUAAUGAAAAAAGAGUUUUGUACUGUGUCAUCUGUACGGAGGUUGUAUCUUUCUAAUAUUCUGUGAUCCGUAUUGAUACGUGCUUAAAUUCUUUGAAUAUAAAAUUUCAUAAUUCAUAACAGCAUUCAACGGUAGUUUAAGCUUAUGGACUAUUUUCUAGUACCAGAGAUUGCCCGGGGGCUGAGCGUUGGGGUAGAAAUAAAUAGGCGAGGAGAAGUGAGGGCCGGUGGAGGAGAGGGAGGAGGUGAACCAGGCGAGGGCGUUGCCGUCGGAGGAAGGGGGGUUGAUGCCGCCGUGGAGGUGGACGACGGUGGGGACGCCGGAGCGAGGGGAGGCGGUGGUGAUGGUGGGGUCCCACGGGAGGAAGUGGCGGGACGGGAGGUGGUUGGUCCAGGUGAUGUGGGUGGGGACACCCCGGAGGGCCUCGAUGGUGGGGCCGGGGACCGUGGCAGUUUCUCUGGACGUGCCGUAGGCGAAAACCCGGGAGGGCGGGAGAUCACGAUGAAAUUUCUACCAAGAUUAAAAAAUUAAAAUUAUUAUUAUAACAUAAUCAGAUAAAAGAUACUUAAUUAAAGUAGUCUCUUGCUGAGAACUGAUUAUUAUUAUUUUUUUUCUUUUUUUGUUUUACGACACGUUAUUAAAAUUGGCAUAUAAUUCUUGUACAUUGAAUUACCCUCAAAUCGACUCGAAAUCCAAACUAUUCAAGUGUGAUCAAAUUGAAACAAAAUUCAAAUCCGAACAACUCAAAACUCAAAUCUCAAACAACCUCGAAUGGCAAAUGGCCCCGAUUAAUAUGAACUCGUAAAGCGACGUGAUUAAGAUGAAAAAGUGUAAGGACGAGAGAAAAGAGUAAAUAAUUUUUUUCUAAACUCCAAAAGCUACAACCGAUGCCGCCGAGUUGGUCGAUUCGGACCAACGAAAGAUGGGAAAACAAGACAGGCCAAAAACCCAAACGAAAUUAGACCCAAUUAUGGCCCAACUUAUGCGAUUUGAAAUAGGAUUUGAUUAAACGGCCCUAACAUUGCGCUCGGGCCUUUGUUUUGUGAUGUUUAGUCUCAAUUCGAAAAUAACUUUUCAAAUCAGUAGUUCUGGGCCAAUUAAGUUUGCAAUUCAACAUCAUUUUUGGGGGACAAAUUUGAUCAUUUAAGUCUUCGGAUUGUCGAUCUUAAUUAUUAAUUUACUAUCUUAGAACAAUUUUAUUUUCUCUCACUUUUGCUCUUUUUUGAAUCCGAAUUGGGCUAGUGUUUUUUGCGUUUAUCCUAAUUUGAUUUACAUAAUUUUAGCUUUUGGAGUUUAAUAAAAUUUGUCUUUUCUUAUAAAAAAGUUUGUCAUUUCUUAUAAAAAAUUUUUGAUCCGAAUUGGGCUAGUCUUUUCUUAUAGAAAAUUUGUCAUUACCUAGCGGUCGAAAAGAUUUAAAAUCAAUGACUGAAAAUAAAAAUCUCACAAAAAGUUAUGAUCUAUUACUAAAAUUUUCGAUCAGAAAUAGUGAUCUUACUGUAAAUAAUAUAAAAAAUUUUCUAUCAAAAUUUUAUCUGAUUUGAAUACUUUUAUACUGUUAAACUUGCAAAAGUAUAUAUAUCAACCAUUCAAAAUUAUUGAUUUUGAAUCUUUCGAUCGCUAGAUAUAUGAUAUCAAAAAAUUACAAAAUUUAUUUUCUAUAUAUUUCAAAUGCGUCAGAUCAAGCUGAUUGUCAAUUCAAAAGCUUCAUCAUCAAAAACGGCUUACGAGCACGGAGAUCUUCGUACUCCUAAUAGCAUACAAGACCUAUUAUAUAUAUAUAUAUAUAUAUAUAUAUAUAUAUAUAUAUAUAUAUAUAUAUAUAAAAUUCAGCUCCAUCAUCAAAAACGAUUUAGGAGCACUGAGGCCUUCGUCCUAUCAAGUUAUUUUUUAAGAUUGAGAUUUCGAAUCAAAGAUUAGAACGGUUAAAAUUGAUCUAGAAUAUUUAAACUAUUUAGAAAAUAAAUUUUAUAAUUUUUAAAAAUUAUUUACAUAAUAAUCAAAGGAUUGCAAAAUUGAUAGUUUUGAAUGGGUGAUGAUCUAAAGCGAUCCAAACUGUUUGAAUUUUUUAUAAAAAAUUAUUUAUACUAUUUAGAUAACGUCUCAUAACUUUAUCAUGAAUUGGAAAAGUCUAACCUUUAUUUUUAUAAGGUUAUUCAUUUUUUGACUCUUCGGUGGACUUAAUAAUGAUUUUUAAAAAUUACAAAAUUUGAUUUCUAAAUAUUUCUAAUAGUAUAAAUUAAUUUCAACGGUACCGAUUAUCAAUUUAGAAUAUUGAUCAUCUAAAAUGAUACUUCUAUACUCUCUCUCUCUCUCUGUACAUAUAUAUUGUUUUAAGCUUUUGGAUUGGAUAGGUUUCAGUAGAUAUCUUCCAACCAACAAUUGAUAGCAAACACCGACCGUCCCUAAAGUAAGUGGUAAAGGACUUGGUGAUUGGUAUCCGAGAUUUUAAGUUCGAAUCCUAGUUGAUUCACAUUUCCAGCUAAAUUUACUUCUAAAUGAAAUAAAUGAAGCGGGUAGCGUGCUAUCUAUUUCUCAAAAAAAAAAAAAAAAAAAAACAAUUGAUAGCAAACUAUGGGGCACUUGAGCCCUCAAACUUUAAUUUAUUAUAACUUCAAGCUCGAACUUUCAAAAUCAUUGCAACAUUUCAUAAUUCAAUUUAGUUGACUAAAUUCUAACGUAUUUGUUGAUAUAAAAGUGAUGUGACAUCUUAAUUGUUGACGUAUUAUUAAUCACAAUACUAUUACAUCGCAGCUAUAUUAGCGAUGUAUUAAUAUUAGUUUAGUUAACUAAAUUCAGUAUAAAACUUGAUUACAACAAUUCUUAAAGUUUGAAUAAAAAGUAAUGAUUUAAAAAUCAGAUCGAAUAGUGACCCGAAAAUAUUACUGGGUCAAGAAUCACUGGUUCAACUAAUGGGUUAAUCACUGAUUGAACCAGUGACGUCGCAUAACGUCAUAUAUAUUUAAUUUUAUUAUAUUAUAUAAAAAUAUACAUAUAUUAUUAUUUUAGUACCAUAUUUUAAUUAUAAAAUACUAAUUUCUAGAAUAAAUUAAAUAGUUAUAAGGUUUCAAGUUUCACUUUUUAUAAGAUUAAUUUAUGCUAAUAGAAAAUAAAAUCAAUUAAGUUGAUUUUAAGCCAUUGGUUUUUAAUAUGACUUGAAAAAAAUCCCACGAGCUUAAUUAAAAUCGAAUCGGUUCAACAAUUAGAUGGUUGAAUCUAUAGGUCCGAACAGCUCAAAACACUUUUUUUGAAUUUAUUCGGUUCAAAAAUUGAACCGAAAGCUUUAUAAAUUGGAUCAUGGUCGGACUGGUCGAACAAAUCAUCAACCAAAAAUUACAAUAAGUUAAUUAAAGUUUGGAGACUAAAAUGUCACCAGACUCUAUGAAUGUCAAUGGGCAGGGAUAACUAAAACUUUAUCCGAAUCCAAACUCGAGCUGAGCGUAUUUAUCUAAAGCUAAACGAAUAUAGUUUCGAAUACAGAUAUAAAAAAUAAAAUCCAACGGAUUUAGAUUCGGGUACGAAUUUUGUCUGUAUCUAACCCGAACCCGAAACCGGAAUUAGUUUUAUAUUAUAUAAUAUACAUAAAUAUUUGAUGUUAUAUUUGAAUUUAUAUUUUAAAAAUUUAAAUUUGAUGUAAUAUAUGUUUUGAAAUAUAGUAAAAGAAUAACUAUUUCGAAUUCAAAUUUUUCGGUUUUGAUUUAGAUCGAAUUUUUAAAAAUUCGCCCCAAAUUCAAUCCGUUCAACUUUAGGUGGGACCAGAAUUUCCCCGACAAAAAAAACCCACUAGUGGCAGAAAACUUUUCCUGCCAGCUUUUCUGUGGAGGCCAGAGCCGUUUGAACAAAAGCAAGAAUUGGGACCAUUUCACCACCUAAAAGAAAACUAAUGUGAUUAUGAGAUGUUGGAAGAAUUUUUUAUUCUCAAAACAAAAUUGUUCUGGUUAGAUCUAUUAAACUUUCUUAGUAGGGAAUUGGCAUUGUAUUUUCAGUUGCUUCAGCACAUAAAGUUUUUCGAAAUAAAAGGAUGAGUCCGACUACUACUGUAUUAUCAGUAGUACAGAGAUCUCCGUGCUACUAAAUUAUUUUCAAUGAUGCGAUUUUUAAAUCGACGAUCGACGCUAUCAAGUUGUUUUCAAUGAUACGGCUUUCAAAUCGACGAUCGGCUUCGUUAGACAUGAUCUACACUGUUGAAAAUAUUUGAAAACUAAAUUUUAUAAGUUUUCAAUAUUAUUUACCUAUCAAAUGGAUAGUUUAAAAAUGAAGGGUUGAAAAUAAAAAAAAAUCAUAAAAAUUGGUGAUAACAGAUUUAAAUUUAAGAUCAGAAGUACUGAUCUUACUCUAAAUAGUGAAGAGAAUUUUCUAUAAAAAUUUUAUCAGAUUUGAAUUAUUUUACACCGUUAGAUUCACAAACGCAUCACAUCGAUCAUUAAAAUUAUCAAUUUGAGAUUUUUUAAUCACUAACCAAAUAAUAUCGAAAAAUUGUAAAAUUUCAAAUACUAUCAGCAGAGUAGAUCAAGUCUAACGAAGCCGAUCGUCGAUUUGGAAACCACAUCAUUAAAAAUAACUUGAUAGCACAGAGGCCUCUGUGUGGUCGAUAGUAUAGCAACCUAGCUCUCAUAGGAUAUAGUACUAGGUAAAAAAAAAAAAAAAUGCUGUUUCAGUUGUGCAAUAAGAAAAAACAUUAAUUAUAUGAAAUAACUUCAACUGUUGAUUUUUUUUAGAAUUAAAAAUUAAGGUCUUGUUUGGCAUCAGAGAAAUGCUAUUUGUAGAGCAAAAGUUGAUGGUAAAUCAUAUGUCCAAUCCAUGCGAGAAUUUAGACAACUUUUUUAUACUUUACUAUUAGAAAAAUAAGAUUGUUAUAGCACUAGCGUCAAAAAUGGACUCUCUAAUUAAGAAAAUAUAAAAUUUACAUCUAUUUUUGAGUGUACAAAUAUCAUCGAUUUUAGUGUUAUCACUUUUUUUUCUAUAUUUUAAAUACAAAUUAUAAAUAAUGGUAUAAGCCGGCAGAUUGAUUUCUUCCUUUCAUUGUUAUUAUAUAUUAGCACACACUCCGGCCAGGUGAAAAGUAAUAAUUGUUUUAAAAAAAUGUAAAUUUUUUAAAAAAAGUUACAUCAAAUUGUGAUAUUUUUUGUCAAAAAAUAUUUUGCAUUCAAAAAUUACAAGCAAUCCAUUAUCCAUUCUCACAAAAAUUCUAUUUACAAAAAUUAAAAUAAAGAAGGACAGCAAGAAUGUCAAAUAAUUAAUGACUUAAAACUUUUGUCCUUAAAUUCGAAAUCUCAUAGGGUGAAAUAACCGCUUCUUUUAUUUUGAAGUUAAAAGAUCACUAACCGACUAAAAUCAAAUAAAUUUAAAAAAAAUAAGAUUGUAAGAUCAAAACUUUUUAAAGAAUUAGCUAGUCAGAUCAAAAUAAGUGUUAGUUAAGUUUAAGUUUUGUACAUUUUAUCUUUUUUUUAAUAAGAAAAAAGGUACAUACCCAAGUGGUGUCAUACAUGCCGAUGGUGAGAUUACCGGCGACCGGAGCACCGGCGGCGUCGAAGCGGAAGCCUUGAAGCUUGGGCAUGUCCGGCAGCUCAUCCACAAACAUCUCUAGCUUGCUCAGCCUGUAAAGGCCAUUUUUCUCCUCACUUGUACCCUCACACACUACUACUCCCUCCACUAUUAUUGUUACUAUUAUUACUAGUACUGCUACUACUGCAGCUAAGUGUAUUGGUAUCAGUGAAACAUGAGAAGAGGGAAGAGGCUUCUUCUCACCCAUCUAAUGCUCUCUCUCUCUCUCUCUCUCUCUCUCUAGAGACCACCUUAUAUAUGGUGUAUAGAUAGAGAAAGAGAGAGGGGAAAGGUAAAGGUGAAAAUGUAAAAGAAAUGCUUAUUGUAUAUUCAAAAGUUGUGCGUAAAUCAUAUAUUCAAUUUAUUUACUUUUUUAUUUUGAAAAAACUAUUAUGAAUUUUAAAUAUUAAAAAGAGUAAUUAAGAAUGUGAUAACUUUAGUGUAACGAUUCGAUCCGCUAGCAAUAAUAACUCGCUGAGCCAAAAUCAUCGGCCCAAAAUGCUUAUGUCCAGUUAUUAUUAUUAUGGUGGGGUUCUCUUAUAUGCCCAAUGACAACGUACCAAAUUCUAUCUGAUCUGGGACUAUUGAGGUGUCACAAGACUCCCUCCGUUUAGGCCCCGAUGUCAUCGUCAGUCUUAAAAAGACACACAGCCCAAAAUUAUCAAAUGAUGUGAUACUUGUUUGUCUUGCUAGUUUUUGUCAUUCCAAUUCUGACUUAGUCUGUCAUUUUGAUCCUGACUCAAUCAAUCAAGACUUAUCUACACUUCCAACUGGUGAACCAGUUCUGAUACCAAAUGUCAAGACCUGACGCGCAAUAAUAACUCGCUGAGCAAAAACCACCAAUUCAAAAUACUUAACCCCAGUUAUUAUUAUUAGGAUGGAAUCAUCUUCUAUACCCAAUGACAAUUUCAAUCUCAUCCGAUGUGGAACUAUUGGGUGUCACAUUUAGUAAUAAAAAAAAAAAGUUUGGAUAAAGAGAGGGUAAGAUUUACAUUCACUUUAGAUGUACCAGUAGUAUUGCUAAAAAUAUAACUAGGACAACCUCAACUACCCGACAUGCACUUUGAAAUGAGUAGUGAGUACUACUGCUAUAGUAGGUUUCGUAGAAAAGUGCGGGCAAAAAUUAUUUACAAUAUUGUUCUUAUAUAUUGUUAAUAUUUUAGGAUCACGAUGCAAAAAAGUUUGAUUGGUUAUUGAUGCAUCUGCAACUUGCCCUGCAAACCUAUCAACAACGUAUAAAGAUAACAUUUUCAAAAAAUUUAAAAUAUUUUUCUCUUAAAAUAUUGUUAUUAUAUAUUAUUGAUAUAUUUUUAUAUAUGCAUGCUAUGAAAAAAAGUUUAUUUUACCAUUGACAUAAGUUUCUCUUUAGGCAAAAUAUUCUUAUAUCUAUAUCUUUCAACUUAGCCAAUUUCUUAUCUUUCUUAAUAAUUUAAAUUAUUCUAGCUAUUAAUUAUAUUAAAUAUAAUGAUUCUACUUUUUAUUAACUAUUAAAUAUUUUAAUUGUAUUUGUUAAAAAAGUAACUAAAGCAAUAAAAUAUUAAUUGAGUAAAGCUGCAACAAAAAAAAAAAAAAAAAAAUCAGAAAUGAGAAACUUAGAGAAAGAAAAUGUUGAGGGCCAUUUUAAAAAAUGCCUAUAGUUGAGGGGGGUCUCCAUGCCUUUCUUUUUUUAAAAGAAUAUCUCUUGUAGAUUAUACACCCCCAUCUUAGAGUUGAUAAAAUUUUAAAUAAUUUUUAACAAAAAUAAAAAAUAUUGAUGUGAUAAGUAAAAUAUUAUUAGCCAUAGAAUAGAGUGGAUGUGAGAUAUAUAUACAUAUCCCAGGCCACUUUAGAGUGUAUAUGUGGCAUUGUUUUAAAAAAAAAAAAUCAAUGAUAAAUAUAUAAAAGUGGGGUGUGUGAAUUUAGUGAGUGAUGAUUGGGACUGAGGGGAUUUGUAAUGGGAGGCGUGAAGCACAAAGUUGGUGGGAGUCGCUUUUCAGAGUUUUUUUUUUUUUUUUUUUUUUUUUUUUUUUUUUUUUUUUUUUUUUUUGAGUUUGUUAUUUUUUAAGGAUAAAUUUUAAAUACUCCUCUUAUGAUUUCACAAUUUUUCACUUUAGGAGGUGUUUGGAUUGACGUAUUUAUAGAUUCAACGUAAGUCAAGUGUAGUGGUGUUUGAAUUUUUCUGAAGUGUGAUUAUUUUUUUGUUGUUUGUUUUGACAUAACUCGUACCGUCUGAAAGUUAAAUUCAAUCACUUCUAUUGUUUAUUUUGAUAUAAUUUGGUGCUGGUAAAAUUAGUUUUUUGAGUUCCAUUGUUUGUUUUGAUGUAAGUAAGUGAAUCUCAUUAUCUCCUAAAUAUAGUAGUAAAUUUACCGCUAUAAAAUUUAAUCUAUUAUAUAAUUAAUUUUUUUAUUAUUAUUUAAAGAUCAUCCUAAUUUAUUAUAAAUAAGGUAAUUCUAACCCAUUAUAAAAGAAGUAGAGUUUAGGUUUUACUGUUUAAUAAAUUUUUUAGAGGAGGUUGAGUGUAGUGAAAGUCGAGUUCGGCACUUUAGAGGAGAAAGUCGAGAAUAGGUGAAGUGGAGCUCUAACAUAACUUGAGUUGCAUUAUAUUUUUCACUUACAUCAAAACAAAUAACAGAAGUGAUGGAACUUGAGUUCCAUCACUCCACUUACACCAAAACAAAUAUCAAGUUAGUUCAUGUGGUUUUGCACUUUCUCACUUUAGUACCUUAUAAUUUAAAGUGUAUCAAUUUAGUACCCUAUUGUUUCAUUUUUAUCUUUUUAUUAUCGAUUCCACUAAUUUUUUUGUUAAAUCAGUGACAAAGUUAAAACCAAAUGGUACAAAAGUGAAUAUUCGAUAAACCUAGAUGAGGUAUCUGAAAUUUUUUGUAUAUAACUUAACGAAAUAUUAACGAAAAAGCUGAGAAAAGAUAAAAAUGUAAUCAUAGGACAUUAAUUUAAUACAGUUUAAACUACACGGUAUUAAAAUGAGAAAGUAUGAAACACAGGGGUGGUAUUCGAAGUUUACCAAAAACAAAAAAAAAUUACAAAUAAAAAAA